CUUUGGACAAUGGUAGGAGAGCGUUCUAAGGGCGUUGAAGCAUGAUCGUAAGGACAUGUGGAGCGCUUAGAAGUGAGAAUGCCGGUGUGAGUAGCGAAAGACGGGUGAGAAUCCCGUCCACCGAUUGACUAAGGUUUCCAGAGGAAGGCUCGUCCGCUCUGGGUUAGUCGGGUCCUAAGCUGAGGCCGACAGGCGUAGGCGAUGGAUAACAGGUUGAUAUUCCUGUACCACCUAUAAUCGUUUUAAUCGAUGGGGGGACGCAGUAGGAUAGGCGAAGCGUGCGAUUGGAUUGCACGUCUAAGCAGUAAGGCUGAGUAUUAGGCAAAUCCGGUACUCGUUAAGGCUGAGCUGUGAUGGGGAGAAGACAUUGUGUCUUCGAGUCGUUGAUUUCACACUGCCGAGAAAAGCCUCUAGAUAGAAAAUAGGUGCCCGUACCGCAAACCGACACAGGUAGUCAAGAUGAGAAUUCUAAGGUGAGCGAGCGAACUCUCGUUAAGGAACUCGGCAAAAUGACCCCGUAACUUCGGGAGAAGGGGUGCUCUUUAGGGUUAACGCCCAGAAGAGCCGCAGUGAAUAGGCCCAAGCGACUGUUUAUCAAAAACACAGGUCUCUGCUAAACCGUAAGGUGAUGUAUAGGGGCUGACGCCUGCCCGGUGCUGGAAGGUUAAGAGGAGUGGUUAGCUUCUGCGAAGCUACGAAUCGAAGCCCCAGUAAACGGCGGCCGUAACUAUAACGGUCCUAAGGUAGCGAAAUUCCUUGUCGGGUAAGUUCCGACCCGCACGAAAGGCGUAACGAUUUGGGCACUGUCUCAACGAGAGACUCGGUGAAAUCAUAGUACCUGUGAAGAUGCAGGUUACCCGCGACAGGACGGAAAGACCCCGUGGAGCUUUACUGUAGCCUGAUAUUGAAAUUCGGCACAGCUUGUACAGGAUAGGUAGGAGCCUUUGAAACGUGAGCGCUAGCUUACGUGGAGGCGCUGGUGGGAUACUACCCUAGCUGUGUUGGCUUUCUAACCCGCACCACUUAUCGUGGUGGGAGACAGUGUCAGGCGGGCAGUUUGACUGGGGCGGUCGCCUCCUAAAAGGUAACGGAGGCGCUCAAAGGUUCCCUCAGAAUGGUUGGAAAUCA
Molecule: ribosomal RNA, 1128 nt
Filed under: Staphylococcus aureus
Lineage: Bacteria; Bacillati; Bacillota; Bacilli; Caryophanales; Staphylococcaceae
Description: partial 23S ribosomal RNA
Rfam family: Bacterial large subunit ribosomal RNA
Source: RNAcentral